UUGUAGAGAUAGGGUCUCAUUCUUUUCCUUGUGGGGUCCCAGUGUGCAAUGGCUGCAAACAGCAGCUUCCUUGGUAGUGUAUGCAGCCUGUUUCUUGUAUGGGUUGCUCUAAGGGACCUUGGAGACAGGC
Small nucleolar RNA from Callithrix jacchus (white-tufted-ear marmoset), 130 nucleotides. Its record names the gene SNORA70. It matches the Rfam family "Small nucleolar RNA SNORA70". From Rfam's summary of the family: snoRNA U70 seems to be exclusive to mammals and is a member of the H/ACA class of snoRNA which contain H (ANANNA) and ACA box motifs. H/ACA box snoRNAs are involved in the conversion of uridines to pseudouridines (5-ribosyluracil) a constituent of structural RNAs (transfer, ribosomal, small nuclear, and small nucleolar). The record is from Ensembl. NCBI's taxonomy places the organism in Eukaryota, Metazoa, Chordata, Mammalia, Primates, Cebidae.